Non-coding RNA from Lactarius akahatsu, 98 nucleotides. The record is from the annotation of a GenBank genome assembly. Lineage: Eukaryota; Fungi; Basidiomycota; Agaricomycetes; Russulales; Russulaceae.
GGGCACAUGGUGUAGUUGGUUUAUCACGUUCAAGAUCAUGUUCGCUUCGCACUUCGUGGUUUUGCGAAACGUGUCUGGUUCAAUUCCGACUGUGUCCA